Molecule: ribosomal RNA, 640 nt
Filed under: uncultured rumen bacterium
Lineage: Bacteria
Description: bacterial SSU rRNA
Rfam family: Bacterial small subunit ribosomal RNA
Source: RNAcentral
UCUUAGUGGCGGACGGGUGAGUAACACGUGAGCAACCUGCCUCUGAGAGUGGGAUAGCUUCUGGAAACGGAUGGUAAUACCGCAUAACAUAGUGAGGAGACAUCUUCUUGCUAUCAAAGAUUUAUCGCUCAGAGAUGGGCUCGCGUCUGAUUAGGUAGAUGGUGAGGUAACGGCCCACCAUGCCGACGAUCAGUAGCCGGACUGAGAGGUUGGACGGCCACAUUGGGACUGAGACACGGCCCAGACUCCUACGGGAGGCAGCAGUGGGGAAUAUUGCACAAUGGGGGGAACCCUGAUGCAGCGAUGCCGCGUGGAGGAAGAAGGUUUUCGGAUUGUAAACUCCUGUCUUAAAGGACGAUAAUGACGGUACUUUAGGAGGAAGCUCCGGCUAACUACGUGCCAGCAGCCGCGGUAAUACGUAGGGAGCGAGCGUUGUCCGGAAUUACUGGGUGUAAAGGGAGCGUAGGCGGGAUUGCAAGUCAGGUGUGAAAUACAUGGGCUUAACCCAUGGGCUGCACUUGAAACUGUAGUUCUUGAGUGAAGUAGAGGUAAGCGGAAUUCCUGGUGUAGCGGUGAAAUGCGUAGAUAUCAGGAGGAACACCGGUGGCGAAGGCGGCUUACUGGGCUUUUACUGACGCUG